Molecule: ribosomal RNA, 253 nt
Filed under: uncultured bacterium
Lineage: Bacteria
Description: partial 16S ribosomal RNA
Rfam family: Bacterial small subunit ribosomal RNA
Source: RNAcentral
UACGGAGGGUGCGAGCGUUGUCCGGAAUCACUGGGCGUAAAGGGCGCGUAGGCGGCGCGGGACGUCCGUGGUGAAAGCCCGAGGCUCAACUUCGGGUCGGCCAUGGAUACUCCUGGGCUUGAGCACUGUAGAGGCAGGUGGAAUUCCGGGUGUAGCGGUGGAAUGCGUAGAGAUCCGGAAGAACACCGGUGGCGAAGGCGGCCUGCUGGGCAGUAGCUGACGCUGAGGCGCGACAGCGUGGGGAGCAAACAGG